GUCAUUACCUUCAUCUCCAGUUAACCAAACAGUCAGAGUCAUGGAUUGGUUUUGGUCAUUAGUUUGGUGUUUCUUACUCCUGACAGGUUUUCUGCGUCCUUACAGCAGUGCUACUGGUUGUGCGGGCCCACCAGUUCUAUGUUGCGCUGGUCGGAACAGCUCCUGUAACAGAGAGUGUUUCUGUGACGAGGAUUGUGUGGAAUCGGGUGACUGCUGUCCUGACUAUAGUUCAACCUGUGGACAAUCAUCCACCGUUUCACCAACACUUUCUUCCGUCUCUACUAAGCCAACUACAGCGAUUGUUCGCCUAAAGGUUAAUUUUCAAUGUCGUUCUGAAGUCCAAGAACAAGCAAUUUUAGAAAUUUCAUCUUUUCUUCAGGGACGUUUCCAGGAGAGCUGUAAGGGCUGCGCAGUGAAGGUCAAACCCGUGUGAGGAUUUGGGCAAUGAAAGCGUGAUUUUUGGAUAAAACGACACCGUGAUGACAGACUCCAACACUCAUCUGCUAAAUAUAAAUAAGCUAUUAAAAGCUAAUAAAGUUAACUGACUAUUUCAGAAUUAAUAAAGCACUCUAUGUUUGCAUUCAUGUAGCAGCAUCUACAUCCUUCUGAGCUCUUAUUUAGUUUUUAUUUUAAACUCAAUCAAAGAAAACAUUUAUAGCACAUGUGCUUUGUUUGAUUCACUCUUUUCUGUUUUUUUCAUAAUAAAAGUCACAGGGUUUACUCUUUACUAACUAUUGUCAAGAUCCAACGCUGAGUUGACAGGUUCUUUUUCACAUUAAAAACAUAGAGGAAUGUUUUACACAGAUGUGAAUGUUGACCAUAUAUUUAGAUUAUAAGGGUUUUUAACAGAUUUCACUUCACUUCCAAUUUUAUGGGAAAAAUCUAGAAAAAAUGAAGAAAUUCUCACAAUUAUCUGGCAGAAAAAUAAUUCACCGUACAAAUCCAGUCUGCUGUGGUCAAGGAAAUAGCCACACUUACUAAGAUAUGAUACUCUGAAACAUGCCUGUGCUGCUGAGGCUUGGCUUUAGUGCUGUUAGAAUAUAAUUACAUUAAACCCACAUGUAAUAUAUCAUUCAUUUGAACUUCAUUUGAAAAUCAAUGACAUUAAUGACUUAGCCUCUAUUUCUGCCAUGAUUAAUGUAAUCUUGCAUAAUUAUAAACACAUUCAUUGUAGCAAAUAAACAAAUAGAAAUCAUUUUUUUUGUUCAGAUGUUUUCAUAUUUCAUAAUGUAUAUUCCACUGUGUUAAAUAGAUUGGUUUAAUUGAUUUGUGCUAGUUUUCUUUUUCUGUGUGUGUUGUGCUAAAUAACUAAGAAUUUAUUGUUUCCUUUUGUAGAUGAUAUUAGCUCACAUUUAAUUAUCCUGAUUUCUUGCAGAUUCUUCAUGUGUGUUCAAUAAAAGAAAAUAAAUCAUUA
Astatotilapia calliptera (eastern happy) is the source of this 1414-nucleotide long non-coding RNA. The record is from Ensembl. NCBI's taxonomy places the organism in Eukaryota, Metazoa, Chordata, Actinopteri, Cichliformes, Cichlidae.